This 468-nucleotide ribosomal RNA is filed under the name uncultured bacterium. Its description in RNAcentral is "partial 16S ribosomal RNA". It matches the Rfam family "Bacterial small subunit ribosomal RNA", at positions 28 to 507 of the family's 1533-position model. The record is from RNAcentral.
GACGAACGCUGGCGGCGGGCUUAACACAUGCAAGUCGAACGGAAAGGCCCUGCUUUUGUGGGGUGCUCGAGUGGCGAACGGGUGAGUAACACGUGAGUAACCUGCCCUUGACUUUGGGAUAACUUCAGGAAACUGGGGCUAAUACCGGAUAGGAGCUCCUGCUGCAUGGUGGGGGUUGGAAAGUUUCGGCGGCUGGGGAUGGACUCGCGGCUUAUCAGCUUGUUGGUGGGGUAGUGGCUUACCAAGGCUUUGACGGGUAGCCGGCCUGAGAGGGUGACCGGCCACAUUGGGACUGCGAUACGGCCCAGACUCCUACGGGAGGCAGCGGGGGGGAAUAUUGCACAAUGGGCGGAAGCCUGAUGCAGAAACGCCGCGUGCGGGAUGACGGCCUUCGGGUUGUAAACCGCUUUCGCCUGUGACGAAGCGUGAGUGACGGUAAUGGGUAAAGAAGCACCGGCUAACUACGUG